UUGGGAUCAUCAACUCCAUCUCUGGAGGACCUUGACAGGAAGCAGAUCUUCUACAGCCUUGGGAUUUGAAAAACUUGUAAAUGUAUUACGAACGAUCCCGCUUUAAAUCAAGAUUCCUUUCAGAUCUGCAUAUCUUUCCCUUUUUGGCAUGGACUUGUAAUGGCAGGGGAUAACCCCUUCAGACAAUGAAAACAACACCUAAUAUGGGUG
RNAcentral lists this long non-coding RNA (210 nucleotides) under Elaeis guineensis (African oil palm). RNAcentral describes it as "long non-coding RNA (EGUI_LNC082048)". Lineage: Eukaryota; Viridiplantae; Streptophyta; Magnoliopsida; Arecales; Arecaceae. The record is from RNAcentral.